Molecule: unclassified non-coding RNA, 470 nt
Filed under: Hevea brasiliensis (rubber tree)
Lineage: Eukaryota; Viridiplantae; Streptophyta; Magnoliopsida; Malpighiales; Euphorbiaceae
Source: RNAcentral
GAAGAAGCCUGGGGUGGAGGUAAUUCCUCGGGUGCUUCUGGUGGGGUUUCCUUUGGAGGAGCCCGGAAAAAAGGAGGUGGACUGGUUCCAUUAUUUGACUUAGAUAAGGGUGGAGGUGGACUGGUUUCAUUAUUUGAUAUAGAUACACCAGGAAGUGGUGAUGGUGUUACUGGAUUUUGAGUUGCCGGUGGUGGUACGGGUGAUGGUAUAAGAUUGUUAGUCGGCGGUGGUGGUGCAGAUGGUGGAUCUAGAGGAAGUAUAGCUUGUACAACUCUACCCUCAAAUGUCAACUGAGCUUGACUGGCUGACGCCUGAAGCUCUCUUCUUCCUCUACUGUCUUUUACUUGAACAGCAUCACAUGAAAAGGACUCCUUGUUGCAUAAUGAUCCUUCAGCUGUAUUAGAAAGCUGGUUCUCAUCAACUUGAAACUCAGAAAGUAGUUGAAGCCGAUAAAUUUCAGGAGAUAAGGU